This is a long non-coding RNA of Anolis sagrei ordinatus, 428 nucleotides long. RefSeq lists it as uncharacterized. NCBI's taxonomy places the organism in Eukaryota, Metazoa, Chordata, Lepidosauria, Squamata, Anolidae. The record is from RefSeq and is a predicted model, not a curated record.
UUACGGCUGCCAAAGGGAGAGUAUGUUGUGACAGCCAUUUAGCUGCUUUCCUCUUCUCCACUCCCUCCUACAACUGAGGGUUUAGUGGCAGAAAUACUCUGAAGGAAUUAAAUAAAUGGCUGAGAUGACGGGGUUGGGGCUGGAGAAGCUGCAGGGUUAGACCCAUGAGGUGUAAAGAGAUGGUUCGAUUGUGUAGCAAAAGCUGGAAAGAAACAAAACUGCAGUUGGUGAGGAAAAGACAACACAAUAUGGACUCACUUCCUACCUCUUAUGAUCCAAAGCCACUGGAGCUGAGGAUAUGAAAAUCUCUCAGACUGUUUCGUUGUACUUCUGUUCUUGAGAUGACAUAUAGUGUUUUUUUUGUUUAAAUUCAUGCAUAUUUUAAACCCAAUUUGGUGCAGAUUUUUAAAUUGUUUUGGUUGCUUCUA